Molecule: long non-coding RNA, 437 nt
Filed under: Nicotiana tabacum (common tobacco)
Lineage: Eukaryota; Viridiplantae; Streptophyta; Magnoliopsida; Solanales; Solanaceae
Description: long non-coding RNA (NTAB_LNC005252)
Source: RNAcentral
AGGUGGCGAGUCAACAAUUGGGGGUUCAUCAUAAGUAGCUGGUGGCGGAGGUGAUGAUCUAAUAGGUGGUGGAGGUGGCUGAGUAUAUGCUGGUGGUGGUGGUUUCCUUAUUGGUAGCUGAGUAGCUGGUGGUGGUAGUUUUGGUGGCUGAGAAAGUGGCGGUGCCCGUUGCAUUGCCGGUGGUGGUGUUGCUCGUUGCGUUGCUGGUGGCUGAGCAGCCGGUGACGGAGAUGGAGGUUUAAUAGGUGGCUUAGCAGAUGGUGGUUGCUUUGCUGGUGGCGGCGGAGGUGGAGGUGGUUGUUUUGGUGGUUGAGAUGGUGGUGGAGGCAGCAGAGGAGGUGGUGACUUAGCUGGUGGCGGCGGUGGUGACUUAGCAGGCGGCGGAGGGGAUGACUUAACCUGUGGUGGUGGUGAUGGUGAUGGCUUGUUUACCGGUG